RNAcentral lists this small RNA (89 nucleotides) under Epilithonimonas lactis. RNAcentral describes it as "Chryseobacterium halperniae Flavo-1 RNA". It matches the Rfam family "Flavo-1 RNA". Lineage: Bacteria; Pseudomonadati; Bacteroidota; Flavobacteriia; Flavobacteriales; Weeksellaceae. The record is from RNAcentral.
UUGCAAUAGCGAUAGUAGCGGUUAUCCUUUUUCUAUGGCCCGGGGAAUGUGAGGGCAGAAAAAGAUAAUAGCGGAUAGCGCGACCCGAG